Molecule: ribosomal RNA, 588 nt
Filed under: uncultured bacterium
Lineage: Bacteria
Description: partial 16S ribosomal RNA
Rfam family: Bacterial small subunit ribosomal RNA
Source: RNAcentral
UGGGGAAUUUUGGACAAUGGGCGCAAGCCUGAUCCAGCCAUGCCGCGUGCGGGAAGAAGGCCUUCGGGUUGUAAACCGCUUUUGUCAGGGAAGAAAUCUUCUGAGUUAAUACCUCGGGAGGAUGACGGUACCUGAAGAAUAAGCACCGGCUAACUACGUGCCAGCAGCCGCGGUAAUACGUAGGGUGCAAGCGUUAAUCGGAAUUACUGGGCGUAAAGCGUGCGCAGGCGGUUUUGUAAGACAGAGGUGAAAUCCCCGGGCUCAACCUGGGAACUGCCUUUGUGACUGCAAGGCUUGAGUGCGGCAGAGGGGGGAUGGAAUUCCGCGUGUAGCAGUGAAAUGCGUAGAUAUGCGGAGGAACACCGAUGGCGAAGGCAAUCCCCUGGGCCUGCACUGACGCUCAUGCACGAAAGCGUGGGGAGCAAACAGGAUUAGAUACCCCUGGUAGUCCACGCCCUAAACGAUGUCAACUGGUUGUUGGGAAGGUUCCUUCUCAGUAACGUAGCUAACGCGUGAAGUUGACCGCCUGGGGAGUACGGCCGCAAGGUUGAAACUUAAAUGAAUUGACGGGGUCAUAGCUGUUUCCUG